UUCUCUUUCUUCCAUCAUGUGUGUGAUUCCUACUAGAGGAGAUUGUGGAUCUGUGGAGAGUUAAAAGAAACAACAUCGCGUCUCUGCAAACAGAACGGCGAUAAACCGCAGAUGAAAUGUUCAAACACGGUCAAUCAUCUCCUCCUCGGAUGCUGGAGAGGAGGAGGAUGGAGAGGAAAGAGGCGAGACGCUGGAGGCAGAUAAGGUGCAGCAGAGAGGAAGGCGAGUGGAAGGAAGGAGGCCACUGAAGUAGAACACAGUCGAUGUCUCUGGGCUCCUGUCGGCUGCAGUUUGCUGGGAUCUUCAGUUUAUUCACUCCUGCAUGCUUCCAUUGCAGAGAUUAAAGGUCAUGUCUGUGCUCGGCGAUGCAGCGAUAAUAACAUCACACAUGGAGUCCUGCCUCACACUAUGCAGCAGCAGCAGCUCUGUGAGGCCCAGAAGCAGGACGUCCACACUGACUGUAGCAUUUACAGAGUGUGAGCUAAAGGUUAGAGCUGGUGACCUGAAUCCCCUGACAAGCUGGGAAAGUCUUGGCGAGGGAAAUGAGCGAGUAACACCACGCGCUGCAUUAAUGAACGCCACCAAGAUCUCAAGCAAGGCACUUAACCCCCCGACUGCUCCAGCUGAGCCACUCUGAGGACUCUGGUCUCCUGGGACGGACUGGAUUCCUACAAGAUGUUCUAUGGAUGGCAGUGUUUUGGGUCAGAGACGGUAAAAGGGAGAAACUCUCCACUUAAAGAGAUCUGAAUAGUGCAUGAGUAGUCAAGUAUAGUUCAUGAUGUGGGGGAAAACACUUUGAGAACUUAUUUAGGGGAAAAGCCCCACUGUUACCCUUAAACAACAUGCCAGGGCAACAAGACUGACAUUGCUUUGGUCACAAUGUCUCAACAGCUACUGGGUAGACUGCCAGGACAUUUUAUUUAUUCAUUUAUUUAUUUAUUUGCAGUUUUUUAAUGUAAUCUUUUUGUGAAAUUUUCUGUCAUUUUACAGGUUUUCACAUAGAAUUUGGCAAAUCACAGAAAAAAGGGAUUAUUGUGUGACCAUAAUAUUACCGAAACAAAACAGACCCAACCCAACCCAACUCAGCCCAACUUAACCCAACCCAACUCAGCCCAACCCAACUCAGCCCAACUUAACCCAACCCAACUCAGCCCAGCCCAACUCAGCCCAACUUAACCCAACCCAACUUAGCCCAACCCAACCUACCUCAACUUCACCCAACUCAAACCAACUUAACCCAACCGUACCUGACCCAGCCCAACUUAACUAAACCCAACCCAAUUCAACUCAACCCAACUCAAGCCAAUCCAUUACAGUAUAAUUGGAAUGUGCCUUGCUAUUUGAAUAUUGCAUCCAUUAUAUCUAGAUUUAUUAGUUAUCUUUUAUUUGAAUAUUGUAUUCUUUUGAUCAUAACUACCAAGUCUGUGCAGAGGGACUGUGUAAGAAUUAUUUCAUAACAUCAGUUGGCCUCUGUGGUUGAACUCUGUUUGUUGGCCCACCCAUCCACCCCAGUUUGUUCCAAUCAUAAUUGCCCCUCAAGUGCUUUGUCAUUUUAAUGUAAAUAUUUUCCAUUUUUGGUGCAUCUGCUGAAGGUCGCGUAGCAAUCAGAUAUAACUGUAUGUGUAGCAGUAAGCUGCAGAAACAACUUAUUUAGAGGACAAAGUGAUUUCACUGUUCACUUCCAACUCUCCAUUUUUUCCAUCACGUCUGCACCUCUGAUAUGAUUCAGCUCUCAAUCCCCUCAGUGUGAUUUUUUUGUGCUCCCUUUAUGUGGAACACUGAUCCAGACUCAUCUGAGCUGUUAAGACCCAGAAAAUGACUUCUCAAAAUAAGACCAGGUACUAAAAUAGAAAUUUUGUUGAGGAGAAAAAUUGCUCCUUCCUUCCACUAACACGGUGAAUUAAAGGCUCCAGGCAGGAACGUUUGUCCUCAUCAUGUCCCUCCUUCACAGAAGUUAUAUAUAGUUGGAUCAGUUGUUUUGGAGUGUGGCUGUCUGACAGCAGCUGUCUCCUGCCGGCUGACGGACUGGACUCAGCUCAGCUAAGAAAUCAAUCCUCAGAUCCUUCGUGAUGACAAACGAAAUGCAGCCUCCACUUGUCUCCAGCAAGAACAGUGACAAAGCAAUUUCUCAUCACAGGAUCUUUCACACCCAUCAACCCGCUCUGUUGUGUUGCAGAUAAUUAAAACACAAUCCAUUAGCUUCUAUACAAAGACUAAAUUACAAGUUACUUUAAUGUUAUACACCUUUUUUUCCUCCCUUUGGGUCUGCUUUUAUCUCUCUCCAUUCAUUCAUCCUGUUUCCAAUUCCCUCAAUUAUGUUUCAUGUCAGCCGGAUGAUCAGGGAGCCGUGGUUACCUGACAGCCGUUGCCAUGGUGACCAGGUCUGUGAAAUGUUUUUGUUCUGCUCUCUCCUCUCGAUUUUUUCUCUCCUGCCUUAAAAUACACUCUUUGUUGUUUAACCUUUGUGAGGAGAUGCAUCGAGCAUUUCUGUCUUUUCUGUUUAGUUGGGGUUUUUUUUUUCAUCCCAGCUGCUUCCACUCACCUGUGAGGAGAAGAAAGAACAAGAACAGGGGGAAAGGUGGGGGAUGGUCGAUAAAUAAAAUGGAUAUUCUGGGUUUUAAGAGGAAGAAAAACACAGUGCAAUGACUUUUCGAUGGGUUAUUCACAACAAAUUAGGUGUUGUCGUAGAAACCAUCAUUUACUGAUAAGACAGGAUGUGUUUUCCUUGUUAAAACUACCAUUAUUCACCCAUUGAUCUGUUUUUAAAUUAGACUGAUUUACUCUGUUAAUGAGUUCUUUUGAGCAACCAAGUAAUGUAGUGAGUAGAUUGUUUUUUGAACAAGCCACAUGAUCUUUGGUUGUGAUAUAACCUGCUUUUUAAAAAAAAAAAAAAAAAAAUAGGCUCCGUUUACUAUGCAGCAUGGGAUAAAUAAGUCAUACCUCCGUUGAGAUGAUGAUAGAGAUACAAUACUAUCGUGAAAAGACAAGAGGAUCCAACAGAAGCAGAACCACAAAGUUUGACCUCUAAGUUUGGAGGAAAACAAUAAAAAGAAGUCAUGGUGCACUCUAAAAAUCAAGUGUUUGCACCCCCCAAAGUAAAAUACAAUAAAAUUAAAUAAAAUCAAAAUUAAAAUUAAAUUAAAUCAAUUCAAAAUCAGAUCAAAUCAAGAUGAAAUAAAAAAUAAGAUAGAACAGUAAAAAUUAGAUAAAAUAAAAAAUAAUAUAAAAUUGAAUAAAGAUAAGAUCAAAUAAAAUUAACUCAAAUAAAAUUAAAUUAACUUAAAUUAAAAUUCAAUUCAAUUACAAUGCAGCUUGCAUUAACUUUUUAGAGUUGCUGUGCGCUCUAAAAACAAAUGUUUGCGCCCCCUCAAAAUAAAAUAAAAUAAAUUCAGUUCAAUUCAGUUCAGUUCAAAAUCUAAUCAAAUCAAGAUAAAAUAAAAAUAAGAUAAAAUAGAAUAAAAAUAAGACAAGAUAAAAAUAAAAAUGAGAAAAAUAAAAAAUAAGAUGAAAUAAAGUAAAAUUUGAUAAAUUAAAUUAAAUCAAAUAAAUUAAAUUGAAUUAUAUAUAGCAGCUUGCAUUAACCUUUUAGAGUUAUGGCAAUUUCUACUGAAAUUAUGUUCAAUCUGUAAACUCGGUUGACUUUGGAGAAGUCAACAGAACAAGGCUUUCCUUUACAAUCAAAUUAAAUUUAAUUACUAAUAGGUAGGAUGAAGUUUUUUUAAGGUGAUUCUCCAUUAACAUUAAGUUUUUCCAACAAGAGUUUCUGCAUUAUUUGAAAGGAAUUUUGAAAUGUCACUCCUAAUUACUAAUGUUAUGAACCCAAGCUUGUGCAUUGUUUAAGUUUUAAAAAAGUUAGAUUUUCUUCAGCAUUUUAAAGCUUUUUUUGUGGUUGUUUUUGUUCUUGUAGCAGCUUUUAAGAGACAAAACUGAUGCUUAACUUUUUAAAAUUUUAAUCCCCAGUUGUGUAGUUGAAUACAGGAGAUACUAAGAAAUGUCACCUUAAAACGUUUUUUGUGUAUAAUUUAUUCAGCCUACAGAUCCUCUAACACACAGUCCUAACUGUGAAUCUGUUCAGGCAGGUUUAGUUGCUACGAGAGGAGACCUGACAUCUUCAACUCACAAUGAAGAAAAAUUAAGUUAUCAAGCCAAUUUCAUUAGUUUACUCAAUAGUGCAAUUUCAAGGUACUUUUAAAACAAUUACCAUAGAGAAUUGCUAAGUUAAUGAAAUUACAAACAUCAUUAUGUCACUAAAACUCAUCUCAAUAAUGAUUUUGAAUGUUUUUUCUUGCAGCCAUGCCUUUAAUUAAGUUGCAAGCAUAGAUACCCUGAAUUACUAUUUAGAAAGUGGACUAAUGUGUAGACUCUCAUUAAAAUAUAAAACAAAUGUGAGCUUUAAAUGAUCCUAGUAAUGAAAAUCAACCUGGUAAAUGGAGAAAAUGGUGAAAUAGAUUAAACUUAAAGAACACAGACAUCUAUCUAACAAUAUUAUGCUGCUAGUGGCCUCAACUUCAAUCUUUAUUCUUUCUUACUUUAUACAUUUAGUCAAAGUCAAAGUCAGCUUUUUUGUCAGUUCUUCAAUAUGUACAUGACACACCAAGAAUUGAAAUUACGUUACUCUCUCUUUGUGCAACAGUAGACAUUAAAUAAACACUUAGGGAAAAAAAAGAUAUUAAAGGGCAAAAAAAAGAACGAAGGAAGUAAAACUAGAGCCGAGCAACAACUAAGAACUAAGAAAAGCAGAACUGAGUGAAAUGUAAACACGACCAUGAGAUAAGAUUAGGUUUUAAAAAAUAGGUAAGAUUAGAUGAGAUUUAUAUGCCACUAUUACAUGUCGCUAACUUUCUAUCUUGUCUCUCCUGAAGGUUUGGUCUUUCUACUCAAGGUGAGUUUUUUCUUCCCACUGUGCUGCUCACAGGGAAUCUAAAGAAACUCUGGAUUUGUUGGGGUUUUCUGUACAAUUUUCUAAGGUUCUCACCUCACUAUGUGCAGUGUCAUGUGUUGUGAAUUGGCUCUAUAUUAAAAAAAUUCAUUAAAUUGAAUAUUUCAUUUUAAAGCCCAA
Molecule: long non-coding RNA, 5059 nt
Organism: Amphiprion ocellaris (clown anemonefish)
Lineage: Eukaryota; Metazoa; Chordata; Actinopteri; Pomacentridae
Exons: 4
Source: RefSeq, a predicted model, not a curated record